AUCUCUGACCUUUUAUGACGGACG
Molecule: non-coding RNA, 24 nt
Filed under: Arabidopsis thaliana (thale cress)
Lineage: Eukaryota; Viridiplantae; Streptophyta; Magnoliopsida; Brassicales; Brassicaceae
Source: RNAcentral